Molecule: ribosomal RNA, 254 nt
Filed under: uncultured bacterium
Lineage: Bacteria
Description: partial 16S ribosomal RNA
Rfam family: Bacterial small subunit ribosomal RNA
Source: RNAcentral
UACAGAGGUCUCAAGCGUUGUUCGGAUUUACUGGGCGUAAAGGGCGCGUAGGCGGCGUGACAAGUCACUUGUGAAAUCUCCGGGCUUAACCCGGAACUGCCAAGUGAUACUGUCGUGCUAGAGUGCGGAAGGGGCAAUCGGAAUUCUCGGUGUAGCGGUGAAAUGCGUAGAUAUCGAGAGGAACACCUGAGGUGAAGACGGGUUGCUGGGCCGACACUGACGCUGAGUGCGCGAAAGCCAGGGGAGCAAACGGG